Molecule: long non-coding RNA, 211 nt
Filed under: Capsicum annuum
Lineage: Eukaryota; Viridiplantae; Streptophyta; Magnoliopsida; Solanales; Solanaceae
Description: long non-coding RNA (CANN_LNC006235)
Source: RNAcentral
CUCCGGCUAGUGACACCUCAGUGGGUUUUUGUCAACGCCUAUCUUAUUUUUAUUUCUUUCUCAGCUCAUUGUCGCCUUAUGGUGCCCAAAAGGAUUUUCACCAAUAAGACUCUCUCAUUUGUACUCAUUCAUUUUUUUUAUUUUUUUUUAAAUAAUGCCCAACAUAUGAAACAUCAUGCACCCAUAACAUGUUUAGCCUUGACAUUCUCAA